UACGAAGGGGGGCUAGCGUUGUCCGGAAUUACUGGGCGUAAAGAGCUCGUAGGUGGUUUGUCGCGUUGUUCGUGAAAACUCACAGCUUAACUGUGGGCGUGCGGGCGAUACGGGCAGACUUGAGUACUGCAGGGGAGACUGGAAUUCCUGGUGUAGCGGUGGAAUGCGCAGAUAUCAGGAGGAACACCGGUGGCGAAGGCGGGUCUCUGGGCCGAUACUGACGCUGAGGAGCGAAAGCGUGGGGAGCGAACAGG
This 254-nucleotide ribosomal RNA is filed under the name uncultured bacterium. RNAcentral describes it as "partial 16S ribosomal RNA". It matches the Rfam family "Bacterial small subunit ribosomal RNA", at positions 524 to 776 of the family's 1533-position model. The record is from RNAcentral.